Molecule: ribosomal RNA, 301 nt
Filed under: uncultured bacterium
Lineage: Bacteria
Description: partial 16S ribosomal RNA
Rfam family: Bacterial small subunit ribosomal RNA
Source: RNAcentral
CAGUCGCCGCGGUAAUACGUAGGUGGCAAGCGUUGUCCGGAAUUAUUGGGCGUAAAGGGCUCGCAGGCGGUUUCUUAAGUCUGAUGUGAAAGCCCCCGGCUCAACCGGGGAGGGUCAUUGGAAACUGGGAGACUUGAGUGCAGAAGAGGAGAGUGGAAUUCCACGUGUAGCGGUGAAAUGCGUAGAGAUGUGGAGGAACACCAGUGGCGAAGGCGACUCUCUGGUCUGUAACUGACGCUGAGGAGCGAAAGCGUGGGGAGCGAACAGGAUUAGAUACCCCCGUAGUCCCUGUCUCUUAUAC